AACGUUGACCUCGGAUCAGGUAGGAAUACCCGCUGAAACUUAAGCAUACUAAAGGGGGGAAAGAAA
Molecule: ribosomal RNA, 66 nt
Filed under: Akanthomyces dipterigenus
Lineage: Eukaryota; Fungi; Ascomycota; Sordariomycetes; Hypocreales; Cordycipitaceae
Description: Lecanicillium longisporum partial 28S ribosomalRNA
Source: RNAcentral